Molecule: long non-coding RNA, 1879 nt
Filed under: Gossypium raimondii (Peruvian cotton)
Lineage: Eukaryota; Viridiplantae; Streptophyta; Magnoliopsida; Malvales; Malvaceae
Description: long non-coding RNA (GRAI_LNC000129)
Source: RNAcentral
UUGGAGGAUCAUCUCUUCCAUUGAGCAGAAGGAAGAGAGCAGAGGAAAUGAGGACCAUGUUGCACAACUAAAGGAGUAUAGGGGUAAGAUUGAAGCUGAGCUCAGCAAGAUCUGUGAUGGGAUUUUGAGCCUUCUUGAAUCUCACCUCAUUCCUUUGGCCUCAUCUGCUGAGUCGAAGGUGUUCUACCUUAAGAUGAAGGGUGAUUAUCACAGGUAUCUUGCUGAGUUUAAGACUGGUGCUGAGAGGAAGGAAGCUGCCGAGAGCACUUUGUUGGCUUACAAGUCUGCUCAGGUGGGUCAAUUGCUGAUGCAGUCUUGUCAGUAUGAGUUAUUUUCUCUAUAAUUCCUUAAGCAUUUCUUUCACUGGAAAGAUUAAGAUAAAAUUUCUAAGCCUUUUUAUUUUGAUUUUUGUGAUGGCAGGAUAUUGCUCUUGCUGAGCUUGCUCCUACUCACCCAAUUAGGCUGGGACUUGCUCUUAACUUCUCUGUUUUCUACUAUGAAAUCCUCAACUCACCUGAUCGUGCCUGCAAUCUUGCAAAACAGGUGUUUAUUUUCUACUGAUUUGCUAUCAAUAUCUUUUCUUUUUAUUUAUUUGUCAUUGAUGUAGAACAGUUAAAAAAAGUAAACUCGUCUGGCUUUUUAUUGUCUUGGUAUGGUUCAUCUGUUUCAGAGGGCAUAGUAAAUUGUUUUAAUCUAAUUCUACCCCAACUGGAUUUAAUUGUGAUGGCCACUCCUUGUAUCCAAUAAGCUAGUUGCAAGUUUGAGGAGCCAAUUUGUUAACGCCUAAAAACUACUGUGCGAAUCUGGUUUGUACUAAUGGUACAGACAUUGAACUUAGGACAAAAAAGUUAAAUUGAUUACCCUAAAUAAACUCAUUUUGCUUAUGAAGUCUAAUUAUUACAUUAAGUUUUCCAUUUUCUAGUGUAGAAAAAGUCUGAACAGAAAUGUUAGAGAUUGCUUUUAUCCAUAAGAAGUCUGGUAAUGUUGUAAAUUGAUGUCCAUUUUACUGAGAUUUGUUAAUUUAAUUCUAUGUAUUAAGGCAUGACAAUUAGAUUGUUCUUAUGCGAAUUUCCAAAAUGUCUUCUCGAGGGCAUGAAUUGACUGUCUAAAGGUUGCUUGCAAACUAAAAUGGCAUGUUUUUCGUUUGGCAGGCUUUUGAUGAGGCUAUUUCUGAGUUGGAUACUUUGGGUGAGGAAUCUUACAAAGAUAGUACAUUGAUCAUGCAACUUCUCCGGGACAACCUGACCCUUUGGACAUCUGACAUCACGGUAUUCCCCCCCACACAAUAAGUUUGUGUUUGCACACAAUCAUGAAAUUUUCAUGCAGCUCUGCUGUCUCUAGACAUAAAAAAAAUCUUUAAAAUGCCACAUGGAUAUGAAAAAUGUCUAAAGUUAUAUUCCUGAGUGAACUUAGUUGCUUUCAUUGACAUGACUACAGUUCUCUACCAUGUUCUCUAAACUUCCUGGUAUGACAUCUCAUAGCUUAAUGUCAGGACUAAUAUCUCAGUUUCAGUUAAUCUCCGAGAUUAUCAGUGCUUCUUUACCUAUAUCAAGAAUGUUUCUUCACAGUAUACAUGUCAAACUCAUUUCACCUCAACAGAGUAGUUUCAGAACUAAUAUUCUGAUGUUAUUGUUGUUAACCUGGGGCUUUGUAUUAUCUCAUGGCUCAUGUUAAUUAUUUCAUUGAUCAACACUGGAUGUUCCUUUUUACCUGAUGAUGGAUUUUUUUGAAGUUCCUUAUUCAGAUGAUUUAUUGUAUUGUUCCUUGGUUUUAGGAUGAGGCUGGGGAUGAGAUCAAGGAAGCUUCAAAGCACGAGUCAGGCGAGGGACAGCAGUGAUAAGUUCAUAAAAAUUGUUCUCUGUACCUUAUAUUUGCAGGU